CUACAAUGGCGUAAACAAAGGGAAGCGAAGGCGUGAGCGUAAGCAAAACCCAAAAAUAACGUCCCAGUUCGGAUUGUAGUCUGCAACCCGACUACAUGAAGCUGGAAUCGCUAGUAAUCGCGGAUCAGAAUGCCGCGGUGAAUACGUUCCCGGGCCUUAGUACACACCGCCCGUCACACCAUGGGAGCCGGUAAUACCCGAAGUCAGUAGUCCAACCACGUGAGGACGCUGCCGAAGGUAGGAUUGGCGACUGGGGUGAAGUCGUAACAAGGUAGC
This 276-nucleotide ribosomal RNA is filed under the name uncultured bacterium. Its description in RNAcentral is "partial 16S ribosomal RNA". It matches the Rfam family "Bacterial small subunit ribosomal RNA", at positions 1225 to 1500 of the family's 1533-position model. The record is from RNAcentral.